GAAGAACGAGGCUCAACCACAGACACUCCCUGCAUCUUCUUUAUAACUUUUAGAUUCCUUAAAUAAACUGACCUUCUAAAUUCUUAUCAAUAAACUUGAAAUAUUAUUUUCUUCGUAGUAUGUCUGAUGUAGUGUAUCAUACUUACAAUUAUUUAUAUCCACGUGAUUUAUACAAGUUUAAAAAAUUAAUUACAUUAGUAACGAUUUUGAUAAUAAUUGCAGGUUACAUAAUAAAAAUGUUGAAUUUUUUUUUUUUAAUAAUAGAGCCUAAAAACUGAGCAUAGUGUGUGAGUAAAAAUAUAUUUUGAAAAUUGUAUUCUUUUAUCAUAUCGAAUACAGGCCGUAAACAAAAAUGAGGGAGAUGGAGGAGAAAAAAGUAUGGUAACGAUUAAACAGCGCUUGCGCAGUUAAUUCUUGUGCUGUUAGGUUUCUCUAGGGUGAAGUACACAAGGGUGUCAGAAUAUUUUAGAAAUAAUGAAGUGUACUUUUUAUCAAUCAAUUCACAUAUGAUUAUUUACUGUUGUUUAUCAUGAAUACAUAUCAUAUGACCAUUAAUGGAAAACCUGUGCAUUUAAUCAGUGUCAAUUACUAGUUAAAUAGAAGAAAAAAUGUUGCGAAAACAAACAGUAUCUGUUGGAGACAUCAAUGAAAUUGCCGAGUUAUUGGACAAACAACGGAAUGUAUUACGGGAACUUGACCAAAAGAAACCACAGCUCGAUGAAUUGGUUCACACUGCAGAAAAUUUACGGGCUGAUAAUAAUCGGCAACAAUUGCACGGUAAAGUGACAAAAUUAAGGGAACAUUGGAAUGAAACAAAUUCAAAAGUGAUGCAUCGCAAAGCACAAUUAGAUGCGAUGUUAAUUGAUAGUCAAAAAUAUGAAGCAAAACGAACUGAAAUAGAAAUGUGGAUCGAUCGGAUGGACUUACGAAUCACAAAAAUGCGUCCUAUUGGGCACACUGCAGAUGUAUUGGAGAAUCAAUUAAAAGAACAAAAGUGUCUCCAAGCAGAAAUUCUCCAAUAUGACCGUCAAAUAGAAGCAUUUAAUCAAUUCUCUCAAAAGCUAAUCUCUUUAUAUCAACAAGAUGAUACUACUCGAAUUAAAAAAAUGACUGAUAUAAUAAAUCAACAGUACACUAAUUUAACUGAAGGCAUUAACAAUAGAGGAAAACUACUUCAUUCAGCAAUUAAUUCUCUACACAAUUUCGAUCGAUCUCUAGAUAAAUUUUUAGCAUGGUUAAGUGAAGCUGAAUCUUCGAUGGAGCAACUCGAAACUGAAACUGAUCGUUUGGGAGGGCGUAGAGAUGAAAAUGUUCUCAAUAGACCACAAUAUAUCUUUAAAGAUCUUCAAUUAGAAAUAGAUAAUCAACGUGACAUAUAUACUUCAUUAAAUACCACGGGUCGUCAGAUAUUAAACUCAUUUACUUGUCAAGAAGAUGCAAUCAUGUUACAACGACGUUUAGAUGAAAUGAAUCAAAGAUGGCUUCAUUUGAAGACUACAAGUAUGGCUAUAAGAAAUCGUUUAGAAAAUAAUUCUGAACAUUGGAAUUCAUUAUUAUCAUCAUUACGUGAAUUAACGGAAUGGGUGAUUCGAAAAGACAUAGAAUUAACUAGCUCAGGACCGAUUCAAGGGGAUAUAGUUUCGUUGCAAAAAAUGCAGGAUGAUUAUAAAGGUUUUCGAAGACAAUUAGAAGAUAAGCAGCCAAUAAUUGAAAAUAGUUUAUUAAACAGUGGACAGUAUAUUAAAAACGAAUUGUCUCUUGCGGAUUCUCAAGACCAUGAUGGACAACAACUAGAUGAUUCUAAAAACUAUCGAAGUAUUGGGAAAACAACGAGAAAAUUAAUGCAAAAUAUUCAAUUUGAAAUAAAGAAUCUGACGGAGCAUUGGAAUAAGCUGAUGAAUCAUAGUGAAGAAUGGAAGAAACAAAUUGACGAUGCAAUCAACAAAAUAUGCAAUUUUGAAAAAUUAUUAGAAGAUCUUCUAUCACAAAUUUCUGCAUUAGAAAUGAUCCAAUGUAAUUGGACAAGUCCUUCAAACUCAUCGGAAGCAAGUGAUAUGUCAAAACAACUGCAACAAUUCGGCAACAAAAUGAGUCUUAUUCAACAAAAUAUUGAUGAAAUCAAUGAUCAAGCAAAUUUAUUUACUACAAUCAAUAUCUUAGUAUCACAUGGAUUGCUAAUGAAGCUGGAGGAUGCUAAUAAAAGAUGGAAAAUAUUACAAUCAGCUGUCGAUGAUCGAUAUAAAACAUUGAACAAAUUCGGAAAGGAUGAAAAUAUUCUUCACAAUCAAGACUUUCUAGCUAGUAGUGUUGAGCCGCCUUGGGAAAGAGCCACUACAUCUACUAAAGUGCCUUACUACAUCAAUCACCAAUUGGAAACAACACAUUGGGAUCAUCCAAAGAUGAUUGAAUUAAUGUCAUCCCUAUCCAAUCUUAAUGAAGUUCGAUUUUCUGCUUAUAGAACAGCAAUAAAACUUCGCACCGUACAAAAACGAUUAUAUCUUGAUGCAUUGAAUCUCUCCACUACUCUUGAACAUUUCGAUUCUCAUGGAUUACGUGCACAAAAUGAUAAGCUUAUUGAUAUACCUGAUAUGAUCACUGUUCUAACAUCCUUAUAUAUGGCUAUUGCAAGUGAUCAUGCUAGUCAGAUUCCAAUUCCAUUGUGCAUAGACUUAGCGGUUAAUUGGCUUUUAAACGUUUACGAUAGUCAGAGAACUGGUCAAAUUCGUGUGCUUUCAUUUAAAGUCGGUUUGGUGUUGCUUUGUAAGGGACAUUUAGAAGAAAAAUACAGAUAUCUUUUCCGUUUAAUUGCUGAUCCAAAUAGACUUGUUGAUCAACGAAAAUUGGGAUUGUUAUUGCACGACUGUAUCCAAGUUCCACGGCAGCUUGGCGAAGUAGCAGCGUUUGGUGGAUCAAAUAUCGAGCCAAGUGUACGAAGUUGUUUUGAAAAGGCAGGAAAAACUAGAAAUGAAAUUGAAGCUAGCCAUUUUUUGAGUUGGUUACAGCAAGAACCACAAAGCAUGGUAUGGUUACCAGUUCUUCAUAGAUUAGCAGCGGCAGAAGAAGCAAAACAUCAGGCAAAAUGUAAUAUUUGUAAAGAAUAUCCAAUCAUUGGUUUCCGGUAUCGUUGUUUGAAAUGUUUUAAUUUUGACAUGUGUCAAAAUUGCUUCUUCUCAGGUAAAAAAGCGAAAAAUCAUAAAUUGACGCAUCCAAUGCAGGAGUACUGUACAGCGACAACAUCUGGUGAAGAUGUACGAGACUUUACCAGAGCUUUACGAAAUAAAUUUAAAUCCAAGCGGUACUUCAAAAAACAUCCUCGUGUUGGAUACUUACCAGUACAAACAGUUUUGGAGGGUGAUGCACUAGAAAGUCCAACUCCAUCACCCCAACAUAGUUCUCUCAGUCAUGACAUGCAUUCACGUUUAGAAAUGUAUGCUUCAAGAUUAGCUGAAGUAGAAUUGUCAAGAACAAAAAGUAAUUCUACACCUGACAGUGAUGAUGAACAUCAGUUGAUAGCACAUUUCUGUCAAAGCCUUAAUGGAAAUGAAAAUCAUCUACCAAGAAGUCCAGUACAAGUGAUGGCUGCUAUUGACGCAGAACAAAGAGAGGAGCUUGAAUCGAUGAUUAGAGAAUUGGAAGAUGAAAAUUCUGCUCUUCAAGCAGAAUACGAAAGGCUAAAAUCUAAACAAACACCAGGAUCAACUCCAGAAGAUAAUCAUGGUGUACGUCAUCCAGAAUGUGAUAUGAUCGCCGAAGCAAAUUUAUUGAGACAGCACAAAGGACGUUUAGAAGCAAGAAUGCAGAUCCUAGAAGAUCACAAUCGUCAAUUAGAAUCUCAACUACAUCGACUUCGACAGCUUUUGGAAGAGCCACAUAUCCAGUCACCAUCGAAAAUGGGAACUUUACAGACCCGAAGUGUAACUGCUUCUCAGCUAGCUACUGAUUCACCAUCAAAAGUGAAUGGAAAUUAUUAUGAAUUACCAGCUUUAUGGAUUUGAAAUCGAUAUAAAACGAUUAAUAACUAAUCCAUAAUUCAGGAGAAGAAGAAAUCUCUGAUAACAGCAGAAUAAGCAGCUUGGAGAGACCUCCACCUCCUCCACCACGUUCUCAUAUUGUUCCAAAUAUGGGCGAUCUUCUACAGAUGACAGGAAAACUGGAAAAUGCUAUGGAAACACUUGUUUCAGC
This 4182-nucleotide unclassified non-coding RNA is filed under the name Chelonus insularis. RNAcentral describes it as "dystrophin, transcript variant X5". The record is from RNAcentral. Lineage: Eukaryota; Metazoa; Arthropoda; Insecta; Hymenoptera; Braconidae.